RNAcentral lists this ribosomal RNA (466 nucleotides) under uncultured bacterium. Its description in RNAcentral is "bacterial SSU rRNA". It matches the Rfam family "Bacterial small subunit ribosomal RNA", at positions 329 to 792 of the family's 1533-position model. The record is from RNAcentral.
GACCAGACUCCUACGGGAGGCAGCAGUGAGGAAUAUUGGUCAAUGGCCGGAAGGCUGAACCAGCCAUGCCGCGUGAAGGUCAGUGCCCUAUGGGCGUUAAACUUCUUUUGUGCGGGAGCAAUAAUGGUCACGUGUGGCCAGACGAGAGUACCGUACGAAUAAGCAUCGGCUAACUCCGUGCCAGCAGCCGCGGUAAUACGGGGGAUGCAAGCGUUAUCCGGAUUUAUUGGGUUUAAAGGGUGCGUAGGCUGUGAGGUAAGUCAGCGGUGAAAUGCCCCCGCUCAACGGGGUGAAGUGCCAUUGAUACUGCCUUGCUGGAAUGCGGAUGCCGUGGGAGGAAUGUGUGGUGUAGCGGUGAAAUACGUAGAUAUCAGGAGGAACACCGGUGGCGAAGGCGGCCUGCUGGACUGCAACUGACGUUGAGGCCCGAAAGCGUGGGGAGCAAACAGGAUUAGAUACCCGUGUA